AAGCUCGUAGUUGAAUUUCGGGAUCAGACUGUCGGUCGUGUCUCGGUACGCACUGGCAUUAUUUGGUUCCCUACCUUCUGAAGAACCGCGAUGUCAUUAAUUUGGUGUCGCGGGGAAUCAGGACUGUUACUUUGAAAAAAUUAGAGUGUUUAAAGCAGGCUUACGCUUGAAUACAUUAGCAUGGAAUAAUGAAAUAGGACGUUUGAUUCUAUUUUGUUGGUUUCUAGGAUCGACGUAAUGAUUAAUAGGGAUAGUUGGG
Molecule: ribosomal RNA, 259 nt
Filed under: uncultured Glomus
Lineage: Eukaryota; Fungi; Glomeromycota; Glomeromycetes; Glomerales; Glomeraceae
Description: partial 18S ribosomal RNA
Rfam family: Eukaryotic small subunit ribosomal RNA
Source: RNAcentral